CACCCACGUCAUUCAUAAAUUCAUUCACACAUACGAGUGUCAUCUGUCACGACGUGCCAACGUCAUGUCUCGUUUUUAAAAUUUCUUGAAUAAUUUUUAUGGAAAUAUGGACAUAUAAUUGUUAUAAUUUCAUUUAGGCCGUGUUAUUGCCUAGUUUACUUAAGUUUGUGUAGAAUAAUACAGUGAGUGAAUUCGUUUUUUAUUUCUGUGCAAUUUUACAAAAUUUCGGGGGUCGAUUUCAUUAAUCUGAAAGUUGCAGUCGCUAUCAAUAAACAGACAGAAUAUUGUGUGCCCUUGUGCAGUGUAGGUAGGCACGAUGGACCAGAGUGGCAUAUCUCCGAAUACUUCGAAUCAGCAGCUAGUUAUUAACAGUGAUAAUGAGUCGGCGACGGCGUUGCUGCAAGAGAAGCAGGCGAGGAGAAGCGAAAGUUUGAGGGAUGUCACCUUCGUCGAAUACAUGACUGUCGGAAUACUGUGCUUCGUCAAUCUCAUCAACUACAUGGACAGAUUUACCCUGGCAGGGGUAUUAGCCGAUGUGAAGAAAGAGUUCAAUAUCGGCGAUGACUACGCCGGUCUGCUGCAGACGGUAUUCGUCGUCGCGUACAUGGUGUUCGCGCCGAUCUUCGGCUACCUCGGCGACCGCUACUCGAGGAGAGCCAUCAUGGCUUUCGGAGUGGCGUUAUGGAGUCUCACCACUUUCGUGGGCUCCUUCAUUCCGAAUUACGCGUGGUUCGCGGUGUUCCGCGGUCUGGUGGGCAUCGGCGAGGCGUCCUACAGCACCAUCGCCCCAACGAUCAUCAGCGAUCUGUUUGUGGGAAACGUGCGCACAAAAAUGCUCGCAUUUUUCUACUUCGCCAUACCAGUGGGAAGUGGUAUGGGCUACAUCGUGGGGUCGGAGGCGGGCGCGGCGGCCGACAACUGGCGCGUGGGGCUUCGCGUGACCCCGUUCCUGGGCGCCGUGGCGGUCGCGCUCAUCAUAUGGGUCAUGAGGGACCCGGAACGCGGUGCCGCUGAGGACAGCCACAUGAAGCCCAGCUCCUACAGCGACGACUUGCGGUCGCUUGUCAGAAAUCCAUCGUUCAUGUUGUCGACACUGGCCUUUACUUGCGUGGCGUUUGUGACCGGCGCCCUCGCCUGGUGGGGCCCCCAGUUCAUAUACCUGGGUCUCAAAAUGCAGAACGAUGUCGACAUAACCCUCGAGAGCGUGUCGUACAAGUUCGGGCUGGUGUGUAUGGGGGCGGGCGCGACGGGCGUGCCGCUGGGCUCGUGGCUGGCGCAGCGCCUGCGCGCCGUGUGCGAGGACUGCGACCCGGUGAUCUGCGGCUGCGCGCUGCUCGCGUCCGCGCCGCUCGUCUACUUCGCCCUCAUCGCCAUCAGCGCGCACGUGGCGCUCACCUACUGCCUCAUAUUCCUCGGCAUGAUCACGCUCAACCUGACGUGGUCUAUCGUCGCGGACAUCGUGCUGGGUGUCGCUAAUCUUCGGCGUGAUCACGAUGCUGUCGGGGCUGCUGGGCGUGCCGCUGGGCGCGUGGCUGGGCACGUCGCUGGUGAAGCGCUUCCCGCGCGCGCACCCCGUCAUCUGCGGCGCCGGCCUGCUACUGUCCGCGCCCGCCAUGGGGCUCGGCAUGCUCCUCGCCGACGGCAGCUUCUACGCACCCUUCGCCCUCAUGUUCAUUGGCGAAGUCGCUUUGAAUCUCAACUGGGCAAUAGUGGCCGAUAUGUCGCUGUAUGUUGUCAUCCCGCCUCGUCGGUCUACUGCGGAGGCUUUCCAGAUAUUAAUAUCGCAUAUGUUAGGUGAUGCUGGCAGCCCAUACUUAGUUGGUGUGAUUUCGGAGAGUCUAAAGCGGUCUCUGUCAAUGACAUACCUGGAACCGCCCACAGAAAGCGUCCAGUUCCGAGCGCUACAAUACGCUCUGUUCACCACCUGCUUCGUCGAAGUCAUAGGAGGAGUGUUCUUCCUCCUCACAGCUAUUUACAUCGUCAGGGACAAGCGCAGAGUUGACAGAGCGAUUGCAGAAGCCGAGGCACAAACAGCGGAACCGUCACACAGCUCAGCGCAAGAGGAAAACGCAAGCAACUAAAGCAUUUCAAGUAUUUCGUCGUUCAGACAUGUGGGAACUGCACACGCACGCGCGGGAGAAGAAUCUGAUGUUUCAGUCGCAUAACUGUAACAGACAUGUUCUCUACCAACAUUAUUGAUUUAUUGAUGAACGAUCAACCUAUCGGGAACAAGUCAUAGUUACUGGUUACGUAUGUAGUUGAUUGUGAAUAUUUACGAAGACUGAUAUUUGAAAAGCAUUGUACGGCGUUGGGCGGGUUAUGAUGAAUGGUGAUUGUGUGAAGUAACAAUUAAUUUAAAUUUUAUGUAAGGGUUUAGGAACUAGGCAUCACAGUCCUACUGUUACCUAUUUAGAUAAGAAGUGCCUACAAAUUAUGUAAUACAUGAUUUUAAUGACUAGCGUAGGGAAGGCGUGACGCAUAUCAGGCACAUUCGGUCCUCUGAACAAUUAUUGAAGUACAGAAAUUUCAGGAAUUGUAUGCUGUUGCCAAUAGUAUUUGUUUUUUUCUGCAAAUUUAAUUAAUUCGAUUUAUUUAUGUUGAUUUAUUAUUUUAUCAUUUAUCUUUUUUUUUAUUAAUUUUGAUUGCAAUAUUAACGUCAAAUUAUAAUAAUUUCCUAGAUUACUUUUUGAAUAACUCUUAAGAAAUAUUCAUACAGUUUAACAAAUAAAUAUUUAUAAACAAUUCGGUCAAGGUUCCUAUGAGUGUCUAAAAUAAUUGUACUAAGUAACUACUACUUAAAUUGUUAAUCAGUACUAAAA
This is an RNA transcript of Ostrinia furnacalis (Asian corn borer), 2819 nucleotides long. It is a transcript of the gene named lysolipid transporter protein spinster, with no coding region annotated. The record is from RefSeq and is a predicted model, not a curated record. Lineage: Eukaryota; Metazoa; Arthropoda; Insecta; Lepidoptera; Crambidae. The transcript is spliced from 11 exons.